AUCUUCUAUCUUCUACUGUAGAAAGUUUCGUGAAGCCAGGAGACACAUUCUACCCCAAGGCUGGAAUGGGAAGUACUUAUACCAUGAGACAGACCUCUGUGCCACAUGGAAGCUCGUUCCACUCUCUAGCUGCAGCGAACUGAAAAGAUGAGCGACCCAGGGAUGUGUGCACUUUGGGGACCUAUAACAGAAUGUGACUGGCAGAACGGGUGUUGUAUGUGGAGGAUGAGGGCUAUCUUGCGACGGGUAUACAGAGAUGAUGUAACGGAUCUCGUCCUCCUCUUCUGAGGAGGAGUAGCGAGAAGGAUCGGAGGACCAAUGCGCAGCGUGCUCCAAGGCAUAGCGAUUGGUCUCCUCUACUAUGUCUCCCACCAGCUCCUCUGUCAGAAACAACUUG
Oncorhynchus tshawytscha (Chinook salmon) is the source of this 397-nucleotide long non-coding RNA. NCBI's taxonomy places the organism in Eukaryota, Metazoa, Chordata, Actinopteri, Salmoniformes, Salmonidae. The record is from Ensembl.